This 73-nucleotide transfer RNA is filed under the name Thermacetogenium phaeum DSM 12270. It matches the Rfam family "tRNA". Rfam says of the family: Transfer RNA (tRNA) molecules are approximately 80 nucleotides in length. Their secondary structure includes four short double-helical elements and three loops (D, anti-codon, and T loops). Lineage: Bacteria; Bacillati; Bacillota; Clostridia; Thermoanaerobacterales; Thermoanaerobacteraceae. The record is from Rfam by way of RNAcentral.
AGGGGUGUAGCUCAAUUGGUAGAGUAGCGGACUCCAAAUCCGUUGGUUGCGGGUUCGAAUCCUGCCACCCCUG